GAUGAACGCUGGCGGCGUGCCUAAUACAUGCAAGUCGAGCGAACGGACGAGAAGCUUGCUUCUCUGAUGUUAGCGGCGGACGGGUGAGUAACACGUGGAUAACCUACCUAUAAGACUGGGAUAACUUCGGGAAACCGGAGCUAAUACCGGAUGAUAUUUUGAACCGCAUGGUUCAAAAGUGAAAGACGGUCUUGCUGUCACUUAUAGAUGGAUCCGCGCUGCAUUAGCUAGUUGGUAAGGUAACGGCUUACCAAGGCAACGAUGCAUAGCCGACCUGAGAGGGUGAUCGGCCACACUGGAACUGAGCCACGGUCCAGACUCCUAAGGGAGGCAGCAGUAGGGAAUCUUCCGCAAUGGGCGAAAGCAUGACGGAGCAACGCCGAGUGAGUGAUGAAGGUCUUCGGAUCGUAAAACUCUGUUAUUAGGGAAGAACAUAUGUGUAAGUAAAUGUGCGCAUCUUGACGGUACCUAAUCAGAAAGCCACGGCUAACUACGUG
This 497-nucleotide ribosomal RNA is filed under the name uncultured bacterium. Its description in RNAcentral is "partial 16S ribosomal RNA". It matches the Rfam family "Bacterial small subunit ribosomal RNA", at positions 28 to 507 of the family's 1533-position model. The record is from RNAcentral.